GGUGAAGUGGCUGAGAUUAGGCAGUAAAUUGUAAAUUUACAGACAAAUAUAUAUAUUUCUUCACCA
RNAcentral lists this transfer RNA (66 nucleotides) under Tribolium audax (American black flour beetle). RNAcentral's name for it is "tRNA-Tyr". Lineage: Eukaryota; Metazoa; Arthropoda; Insecta; Coleoptera; Tenebrionidae. The record is from RNAcentral.